This is a non-coding RNA of Chrysemys picta bellii (western painted turtle), 812 nucleotides long. NCBI's taxonomy places the organism in Eukaryota, Metazoa, Chordata, Testudines, Emydidae. The record is from RefSeq and is a predicted model, not a curated record.
UCGACAGCUUUGUGCUUUAACCUCCACCAAAGAUCUACUCAUCCCCGUCCCAUCCCCUGCGAUCGCAGGAAGCUGACUGUCCUGGGAUAUGUGCCAUCUUUGCCUGAUUUCUCUUUGGUGCCCUGGAGGAAGAUGAAACACUCUGAGGCUUUGCAAUGCAACAACAUUAUGGCACAAGAACAUUGCAUCACACUUGGUGAUACACUAUGAUGCAGCGACAUGACAUCACUGUACAUUGAUGCAAUGGCGUGAGCUCAGGUUCGCCUUGGCAUCUGCUUCCUGAGUCAGGUUCAACGACACAAGUUUGUCUACUUACCGUACUGGAUUUGAGCUCAUCCCCAUUUUCCUCUUCGGAUUCUAAUGCAACAGCUGUUGGGUCUCAAGUAGUCUCCGCCUCGUCCCUCCAGCAACAUCUGGAUGUCACCACCCCUCUCUUCGUCCACCGAGACCUGUCUGGAGAAAUGGGCGCUCUUGGUCCUGCAGUGGGCUUCUCAGAGAAACCAACACCAUCACACAGGACCGCAAGAGGGAAAAUGUGACUUUUGCCAUGCUUGGGCUAUGCUGCACACGAGAGAGACUCCGGCUCAAGAAGGCAAGUCGGGAAAGAAGUUAUCAGGAAAUAGCAGAAGUCUGUUUGCUGUUUCUGAAGCAGUAUGGAACCAGACUCAAGCCAUCCCCCAGAUCCAAGUUGUCUCCCUGAAAGAUGUCUCCAAGCAGAGGUCACUUCCAGAGCAGAAUCUUUAGCCAGGUUCUUGGGAAUAUUAACCUGAGCCUGCAUAAGUGAUGUAGUAUGGUAACAUUUUAUUGUAACC